AAGACUAUACUUUCAGGGAUCAUUUCUAUAGUUCGUUACUAAAUUCUUGGCAAAAACACAUAUACCAUGCUCACCAUGACUUUUGUCUUAAUUUGUUUUUUUGAGUUAAAGAAGAGACCAUGGA
This is a small nucleolar RNA of Rattus norvegicus (Norway rat), 124 nucleotides long. Ensembl annotates it as small nucleolar RNA U3. Lineage: Eukaryota; Metazoa; Chordata; Mammalia; Rodentia; Muridae. The record is from Ensembl.